ACGAACGCUGGCGGCGUGCUUAACACAUGCCAGUCGCACGGAAAGGCCCAGCUUGCUGGGUACUCGAGUGGCGAACGGGUGAGUAACACGUGGGUGAUCUGCCCCUGACUUUGGGAUAAGCCUGGGAAACUGGGUCUAAUACCGGAUAUGACCUUACAUCGCAUGGUGUUUGGUGGAAAGCUUUUGCGGUUGGGGAUGGGCCCGCGGCCUAUCAGCUUGUUGGUGGGGUAAUGGCCUACCAAGGCGACGACGGGUAGCCGACCUGAGAGGGUGAUCGGCCACACUGGGACUGAGACACGGCCCAGACUCCUACGGGAGGCAGCAGUGGGGAAUAUUGCACAAUGGGCGCAAGCCUGAUGCAGCGACGCCGCGUGAGGGAUGACGGCCUUCGGGUUGUAAACCUCUUUCACCAGGGACGAAGCGUGAGUGACGGUACCUGGAGAAGAAGCACCGGCCAACUACGUG
This 465-nucleotide ribosomal RNA is filed under the name uncultured bacterium. RNAcentral describes it as "partial 16S ribosomal RNA". It matches the Rfam family "Bacterial small subunit ribosomal RNA", at positions 29 to 507 of the family's 1533-position model. The record is from RNAcentral.